Molecule: ribosomal RNA, 450 nt
Filed under: uncultured Diversispora
Lineage: Eukaryota; Fungi; Glomeromycota; Glomeromycetes; Diversisporales; Diversisporaceae
Description: SSU rRNA
Rfam family: Eukaryotic small subunit ribosomal RNA
Source: RNAcentral
AGCAGCCGCGGUAAUUCCAGCUCCAAUAGCGUAUAUUAAAGUUGUUGCAGUUAAAAAGCUCGUAGUUGAACUUCGGGGUUUACCCAUUGGUCAGGCUUAAUUGUCUGUACUGGUGAGAUAAAUCUCUACCUUCUGAGGAACUUUCAUGUCAUUAAUUUGGUGUAAUUGGAAAUCAGGACUGUUACUUCGAAAAAUUGAGUGUUUAAAGCAGGCUAACGUCUGAAUACAUUAGCAUGGAAUAAUGAAAUAGGACGGACUGAUUCUAUUUCGUUGGUUUCUAGGAUCACCGUAAUGAUUAAUAGGGAUAGUUGGGGGCAUUAGUAUUCAAUUGUCAGAGGUGAAAUUCUUGGAUUUAUUGAAGACUAACUACUGCGAAAGCAUUUGCCAAGGAUGUUUUCAUUAAUCAAGAACGAAAGUUAGGGGAUCGAAGACGAUCAGAUACCGUCGUAG